Molecule: unclassified non-coding RNA, 93 nt
Organism: Aotus nancymaae (Ma's night monkey)
Lineage: Eukaryota; Metazoa; Chordata; Mammalia; Primates; Aotidae
Rfam family: Y RNA
About the family: Y RNAs are components of the Ro ribonucleoprotein particle (Ro RNP), in association with Ro60 and La proteins. The Y RNAs and Ro60 and La proteins are well conserved, but the function of the Ro RNP is not known.
Source: Ensembl
UGUCUCUAAAAGCUUGAGUGGCAGUUUAUCACAACCAGUUACAGAUUUCUUUGCUCCUUCUCCACUCCCACUGCUUCCCUUGACUGGCAUUUG